RNAcentral lists this ribosomal RNA (1235 nucleotides) under metagenome. RNAcentral's name for it is "bacterial LSU rRNA". It matches the Rfam family "Bacterial large subunit ribosomal RNA", at positions 1564 to 2808 of the family's 2925-position model. The record is from RNAcentral.
UGAGUACGAGACGCUAAGGCGUGGAAGUAGUGGAUGUCAUACUUCCAAGAAAUGCUUGCACUGUCAUAGAUAAAAAAUGCCUGUACCAUAACCGACACAGGUGGGUAAGUAGAGUAUACUAAGGGGCGCGAGAUAACUCUCUCUAAGGAACUCGGCAAAAUAACUCCGUAACUUCGGGAGAAGGAGUGCCUUAUUCUUAAGGUUGCAAUAACAAGAUCCAAGCAACUGUUUAUCAAAAACACAGGUCUCCGCUAAGUCGUAAGACGAUGUAUGGGGGCUGACGCCUGCCCAGUGCCAGAAGGUUAAAGAAGUCGGUUAGCAAUAGCAAAGCUGGUAACUGAAGCCCUGGUGAACGGCGGCCGUAACGAUAACGGUCCUAAGGUAGCGAAAUUCCUUGUCGGGUAAGUUCCGACCCGCACGAAAGGCGUAAUGAUUUGGAUGCUGUCUCGGAGAGGGGCUCGGUGAAAUAGACUUGUCUGUGAAGAUGCGGACUACCUGCACCAGGACAGAAAGACCCUAUGAAGCUUUACUGUAACUUGAAAUUGAAAUUGGACUUUAUUCGCGCAGUAUAGGUGGGAGGCGUUGAUUAUAAUCUUGUGGGAUUAUUGGAGCCAUCAGUGAGAUACCACUCUUGUAAUGUUAGAUUUCUAACUUUGAAUCAUUAUCUGGUCAAAGGACAGUUUCAGGCGGGCAGUUUGACUGGGGCGGUCGCCUCCUAAACGGUAACGGAGGCGUACAAAGGUUUCCUCUGAACGGUUAGAAAUCGUAUCUAGAGUGUAAAGGCAUAAGGAAGCUUGACUGUGAGACCUACAAGUCGAGCAGGGACGAAAGUCGGUCUUAGUGAUCUGACGGUACUGAGUGGAAAGGCCGUCACUCAACGGAUAAAAGUUACUCUAAGGAUAACAGGCUGAUCUCCCCCAAGAGUUCACAUCGACGGGGAGGUUUGGCACCUCGAUAUCGGCUCAUCGCAUCCUGGGGCGGUAGUACGUCCCAAGGGUUGGGCUGUUCGCCCAUGAAAGCGGUACGCGAGCUGGGUUCAGAACGUCGUGAGACAGUUCGGUCCAUAUCCGGUGUAGGCGCUAGAAUAUUGAGAGGAGCCUUCUUUGGUACGAGAGGACCGAGAAGGACAUACCUCUGGUGUACCAGUUAUCGUGCCAACGGUAAACGCUGGGUAGCUAUGUAUGGAGUGGAUAACCGCUGAACCCAUCUAAGUGGGAAGCCCACCUCAAGAUAAG